This 497-nucleotide ribosomal RNA is filed under the name uncultured bacterium. Its description in RNAcentral is "partial 16S ribosomal RNA". It matches the Rfam family "Bacterial small subunit ribosomal RNA", at positions 28 to 507 of the family's 1533-position model. The record is from RNAcentral.
GAUGAACGCUGGCGGCGUGCCUAAUACAUGCAAGUCGAGCGAACGGACGAGAAGCUUGCUUCUCUGAUGUUAGCGGCGGACGGGUGAGUAACACGUGGAUAACCUACCUAUAAGACUGGGAUAACUUCGGGAAACCGUAGCUAAUACCGGAUAAUAUUUUGAACCGCAUGGUUCAAAAGUGAAAGACGGUCUUGCUGUCACUUAUAGAUGGAUCCGCGCUGCAUUAGCUAGUUGGUAAGGUAACGGCUUACCAAGGCAACGAUGCAUAGCCGACCUGAGAGGGUGAUCGGCCACACUGGAACUGAGACACGGUCCAGAAUCCUACGGGAGGCAGCAGUAGGGAAUCUUCCGCAAUGGGCGAAAGCCUGACGGAGCAAAACCGCGUGAGUGAUGAAGGUCUUCGGAUCGUAAAACUCUGUUAUUAGGGAAGAACAUAUGUGUAAGUAACUGUGCACAUCUUGACGGUACCUAAUCAGAAAGCCACGGCUAACUACGUG